UGGGGAAUAUUGCACAAUGGGCGAAAGCCUGAUGCAGCAACGCCGCGUGAGUGAUGAAGGCCUUCGGGUUGUAAAGCUCUGUCUUUUGGGACGAUAAUGACGGUACCAAAGGAGGAAGCCACGGCUAACUACGUGCCAGCAGCCGCGGUAAUACGUAGGUGGCAAGCGUUGUCCGGAUUUACUGGGCGUAAAGGAUGCGUAGGCGGAUUUUUAAGUGAGAUGUGAAAACCCUAAGCUUAACUUGGGGACUGCAUUUCAUACUGGAAAUCUAGAGUGCGGGAGAGGAGAAUGGAAUUCCUAGUGUAGCGGUGAAAUGCGUAGAGAUUAGGAAGAACACCAGUGGCGAAGGCGAUUCUCUGGACCGUAACUGACGCUGAGGCAUGAAAAGCGUGGGUAGCAAAACAGGAUUAGAUACCCUGGUAGUCCACGCCGUAAAACGAUGAGUACUAGGUGUAGGAGGUAUCGACCCCUUCUGUGCCGCAGUUAACACAAUAAGUACUCCGCCUGGGAAGUACGAUCGCAAGAUUAAAAACUCAAAUGAAUUGACGGGGUCAUAGCUGUUUCCU
Molecule: ribosomal RNA, 566 nt
Filed under: uncultured bacterium
Lineage: Bacteria
Description: partial 16S ribosomal RNA
Rfam family: Bacterial small subunit ribosomal RNA
Source: RNAcentral